Molecule: ribosomal RNA, 803 nt
Filed under: uncultured bacterium
Lineage: Bacteria
Description: bacterial SSU rRNA
Rfam family: Bacterial small subunit ribosomal RNA
Source: RNAcentral
AGAGUUUGAUCCUGGCUCAGGAUGAACGCUGGCGGCGUGCUUAACACAUGCAAGUCGAACGAAGCACUUUUAUUUGAUUUCUUCGGAAUGAAGAUUUUAGUGACUGAGUGGCGGACGGGUGAGUAACGCGUGGGUAACCUGCCUCAUACAGGGGGAUAACAGUUAGAAAUGACUGCUAAUACCGCAUAAGACCACAGCACCGCAUGGUGCAGGGGUAAAAACUCCGGUGGUAUGAGAUGGACCCGCGUCUGAUUAGGUAGUUGGUGGGGUAACGGCCUACCAAGCCGACGAUCAGUAGCCGACCUGAGAGGGUGACCGGCCACAUUGGGACUGAGACACGGCCCAAACUCCUACGGGAGGCAGCAGUGGGGAAUAUUGCACAAUGGGGGAAACCCUGAUGCAGCGACGCCGCGUGAAGGAAGAAGUAUCUCGGUAUGUAAACUUCUAUCAGCAGGGAAGAUAGUGACGGUACCUGACUAAGAAGCCCCGGCUAACUACGUGCCAGCAGCCGCGGUAAUACGUAGGGGGCAAGCGUUAUCCGGAUUUACUGGGUGUAAAGGGAGCGUAGACGGUGUGGCAAGUCUGAUGUGAAAGGCAUGGGCUCAACCUGUGGACUGCAUUGGAAACUGUCAUACUUGAGUGCCGGAGGGGUAAGCGGAAUUCCUAGUGUAGCGGUGAAAUGCGUAGAUAUUAGGAGGAACACCAGUGGCGAAGGCGGCUUACUGGACGGUAACUGACGUUGAGGCUCGAAAGCGUGGGGAGCAAACAGGAUUAGAUACCCUGGUAGUCCACGCCGUAAACGA